AGUCCCGAUCUCUUGAACCACAGG
RNAcentral lists this microRNA (24 nucleotides) under Prunus persica (peach). RNAcentral describes it as "microRNA miRNA_87". The record is from RNAcentral. Lineage: Eukaryota; Viridiplantae; Streptophyta; Magnoliopsida; Rosales; Rosaceae.